UACGUAGGUGGCAAGCGUUGUCCGGAUUUAUUGGGUUUAAAGGGUGCGUAGGUGGUCAAUUAAGUCAGUGCUGAAAUAUCCCAGCUUAACUGGGAGGGUGGCAUUGAUACUGAUUGACUUGAGUGGAGUUGAGGUAGGCGGAAUUGACGGUGUAGCGGUGAAAUGCUUAGAUAUCGUCAAGAACACCGAUAGCGAAGGCAGCUUACCAAGCUCUAACUGACACUGAUGCACGAAAGUGUGGGGAUCAAACAGG
Molecule: ribosomal RNA, 253 nt
Filed under: uncultured bacterium
Lineage: Bacteria
Description: partial 16S ribosomal RNA
Rfam family: Bacterial small subunit ribosomal RNA
Source: RNAcentral